Molecule: ribosomal RNA, 270 nt
Filed under: Enterobacter sp. CAR52
Lineage: Bacteria; Pseudomonadati; Pseudomonadota; Gammaproteobacteria; Enterobacterales; Enterobacteriaceae
Description: partial 16S ribosomal RNA
Rfam family: Bacterial small subunit ribosomal RNA
Source: RNAcentral
UUUGGUGCCUUCGGGAACUGUGAGACAGGUGCUGCAUGGCUGUCGUCAGCUUGUGUUGUGAAAUGUUGGGUUAAGUCCCGCAACGAGCGCAACCCUUAUCCUUUGUUGCCAGCGGUCCGCCCGGGCACUCAAAGGAGACUGCCAGUGAUAAACUGGAGGAAGGUGGGGAUGACGUCAAGUCAUCAUGGCCCUUACGGCCAGGGCUACACACGUGAUACAAUGGCGCAUACAAAGGGAAGCCACCUCGCGAGAGCAAGCGGACCUCAUAAA